This 497-nucleotide ribosomal RNA is filed under the name uncultured bacterium. Its description in RNAcentral is "partial 16S ribosomal RNA". It matches the Rfam family "Bacterial small subunit ribosomal RNA", at positions 28 to 507 of the family's 1533-position model. The record is from RNAcentral.
GAUGAACGCUGGCGGCGUGCCUAAUACAUGCAAGUCGAGCGAACGGACGAGAAGCUUGCUUCUCUGAUGUUAGCGGCGGACGGGUGAGUAACACGUGGAUAACCUACCUAUAAGACUGGGAUAACUUCGGGAAACCGUAGCUAAUACCGGAUAAUAUUUUGAACCGCAUGGUUCAAAAGUGAAAGACGGUCUUGCUGUCACUUAUAGAUGGAUCCGCGCUGCAUUAGCUAGUUGGUAAGGUAACGGCUUACCAAGGCAACGAUGCAUAGCCGACCUGAGAGGAUGAUCGGCCACACUGGAACUGAGACACGGUCCAGACUCCUACGGGAGGCAGCAGUAGGGAAUCUUCCGCAAUGGGCGAAAGCCUGACGGAGCCACGCCGCGUGAGUGAUGAAGGUCUUCGGAUCGUAAAGCUCUGUUAUUAGGGAAGAAAAUAUGUGUAAGUAUCUGUGCACAUCUUGACGGUACCUAAUCAGAAAGCCCCGGCUAACUACGUG